AUUGAACGCUGGCGGAAUGCUUUACACAUGCAAGUCGAGCGGCAGCGCGGGGCAACCUGGCGGCGAGCGGCGAACGGGUGAGUAAUACAUCGGAACGUACCCAGUUGUGGGGGAUAGCCCGGCGAAAGCCGGAUUAAUACCGCAUACGACCUGAGGGUGAAAGUGGGGGAUCGCAAGACCUCACGCAGUUGGAGCGGUCGAUGGCGGAUUAGCUAGUUGGUAGGGUAAAGGCCUACCAAGGCGACGAUCCGUAGCGGGUCUGAGAGGACGACCCGCCACACUGGAACUGAGACACGGUCCAGACUCCUACGGGAGGCAGCAGUGGGGAAUUUUGGACAAUGGGGGCAACCCUGAUCCAGCCAUUCCGCGCGAGUGAAGAAGGCCUUCGGGUUGUAAAGCUCUUUCGGCAGGAACGAAACGGCGGGCUCUAACAUAGCCUGCUAAUGACGGUACCUGAAGAAGAAGCACCGGCUAACUAUGUGCCAGCCGCCGCCGUAA
Molecule: ribosomal RNA, 498 nt
Filed under: uncultured bacterium
Lineage: Bacteria
Description: partial 16S ribosomal RNA
Rfam family: Bacterial small subunit ribosomal RNA
Source: RNAcentral